CCGGCUCCUCUGCCAUUGCAUUCACCAGAACUAGUCACGUGGCCACGCCCGCCUUCACAGGGCGGAAGGUGAAAUUCCGUGUGCUUAGCAGAGGACAAUUCAAACGGGUGUCCAGCAGAGAUGGUCAGGACCUCAGCCCGCAGCUAUGAGAAGGGGUCCUCCGGGUGGAGGGAAGAGUCUAGCCCCGCAGGCGAGGCGGGGAAGCAGAGGCGUGCUUCCAAGACGUCCAGAGGCGCGAUCAGGAUAUAUAUGAUCACAUUUUAACUUAGUCUGCAACAUGUACUGAAUAAAAAGAAGAUAGUGCAAAGCAAUUCUCCAACACAGUAAAAGGAAUCCUGAAUUUUCUCUUUAGUGAUGCUACACAUACUUACUUUGG
This 376-nucleotide long non-coding RNA is filed under the name Homo sapiens (human). RNAcentral's name for it is "HSALNT0116875". The record is from RNAcentral. Lineage: Eukaryota; Metazoa; Chordata; Mammalia; Primates; Hominidae.